GAAAUGAAUGUAUAUGUGUGUUUGCGGUC
RNAcentral lists this non-coding RNA (29 nucleotides) under Rattus norvegicus (Norway rat). Lineage: Eukaryota; Metazoa; Chordata; Mammalia; Rodentia; Muridae. The record is from RNAcentral.